UGGAAUCCAGUCUCUAAACCCUCUCUCGAUUGGAUUUCUUCAUCCAAUCUCUAGCUAAUCACUCUCUCUUUGGUUAGCUACAUCAAGGUGGUAUCAGAUUCAAGGCUAACGCUCCUGGAAAUGUCAGACAUGGUCACAAAAAAGGAUGUAGAAGAUCUGAGGAAGUCAUUAGCAGAUCUGACUUCUGUGGUGGAGAAUCUGGCUCUCACUGUGCACCAGAUUGUGUCCGAUCAGCCCAAAACCGGCCGUUCCAGAGGUGAGUCCAGCAGAUCUAAGAAC
RNAcentral lists this long non-coding RNA (279 nucleotides) under Zostera marina. Its description in RNAcentral is "long non-coding RNA (ZMAR_LNC002734)". The record is from RNAcentral. Lineage: Eukaryota; Viridiplantae; Streptophyta; Magnoliopsida; Alismatales; Zosteraceae.